CUUGGUCAUUUAGAGGAAGUAAAAGUCGUAACAAGGUUUCCGUAGGUGAACCUGCGGAAGGAUCAUUACAAGUGAGGCUACCGAACGUUGGAAACAGCGGUUAGGAGCUUACACCCACCCGUGUUUACAUACUAUUGUUGCUUUGGCGGGCCGUGGCCUCCACUGCGGGCUCUGCUCGUGUGUGCCCGCCAGAGAACCAAACUCUGAAUGUUAGUGAUGUCUGAGUACUAUCUAAUAGUUAAAACUUUCAACAACGGAUCUCUUGGUUCUGGCAUCGAUGAAGAACGCAGCGAAAUGCGAUAAGUAAUGUGAAUUGCAGAAUUCAGUGAAUCAUCGAAUCUUUGAACGCACAUUGCGCCCUGUGGUAUUCCGCAGGGCAUGCCUGUUCGAGCGUCAUUUAACCACUCACGCCUACGUGGCUAUUGGGGGCACGCGGUCUCCGCGGCCCUCAAAAUUAGUGGCGGCGCCGGUGGGCUCUAAGCGUAGUACAUACUCCCGCUAUAGAGUUCCCCCCGGUGGCUCGCCAGAACCCCCAAUUUUUUACAGGUUGACCUCGGAUCAGGUAGGGAUACCCGCUGAACUUAAGCAUAUCAAUAAGCGGAGGA
RNAcentral lists this ribosomal RNA (605 nucleotides) under uncultured Phialocephala. Its description in RNAcentral is "eukaryotic LSU rRNA". The stretch from base 243 to 396 matches the Rfam family "5.8S ribosomal RNA". The record is from RNAcentral. Lineage: Eukaryota; Fungi; Ascomycota; Leotiomycetes; Helotiales.